GACGAAGCGUGCAAAAGUUGUUCGGAAUCACUGGGCUUAAACGGCGCGAAGGCGGGCGCCCAAGUCGGUGGUGAAAUCUUUCGGCCCAACGGGAAAAGUGCCGCCGAUACGGGGGGGCUCGAGCGAGGUAGGGGUCGAUCGAACUUCCGUUGGAGCGGUGAAAUGCGUAGAUAUCGGAAGGGACGCCGGUGGCGAAGGCGAGCGACUGGACCCUUUCUGACGGUGAGGCGAGAAGGCCAGGGGAGCAGGCGGG
RNAcentral lists this ribosomal RNA (253 nucleotides) under uncultured bacterium. RNAcentral's name for it is "partial 16S ribosomal RNA". It matches the Rfam family "Bacterial small subunit ribosomal RNA", at positions 524 to 776 of the family's 1533-position model. The record is from RNAcentral.